Molecule: long non-coding RNA, 934 nt
Organism: Microtus ochrogaster (prairie vole)
Lineage: Eukaryota; Metazoa; Chordata; Mammalia; Rodentia; Cricetidae
Exons: 3
Source: RefSeq, a predicted model, not a curated record
AACAAAACGUGACCCAAGGGAGGCAGGUGGGAGAGGGACAGAGCCUCAGUGUGAGCAAGCAUCCAGAGCAGUCCAGAAGACAGGAGUACGUCGGAGGCCAGCGUUCACAAACCAUCUGAACCCCACAGCAGCUGCAUUUCCGUCGGCUUCAGGUUCUUCCUAAAUGACUUGCUGAUCACACAAACAGCACACACUGGUUGGGUGAAGCCCAGAGGCCCAGGAAAACCUAGCCUCGAGACGCUGGAUAAAGAUGUAUUGGAUGAUAAAACAAAAGCACCGACACGCCGAGGGGAAAUCACAUGACGAGAUAUGAAAUUAAAAACAAAUGAAAAAGGAAGGCACAGUGGCUAUGUUUAUGUAACAGGACCCCAGACCUUAGCACAAUAGGUACCACGUUAGAGGUACAAUUCUCACCUCACAAGCUGGGAGGUAGGCCCCACACCUGCCAAAAUGGGAACCAAGACCUAAUCCAUCAAAUCCACCGCGGCCCAUGGUUCCAGGAUCCAGAAAAGGCCCUAAAUAUACUAACCUUGUUUUUUGGCUUCUGUAGUUCUGCUUCUUGCUAACUGUUCUUGCUAACUGAAGUGUGCCAACCGAGCUGUGGCUGGUGCAUAAAAGCUAAGGAGCUGUGAGGAUCUGGGCUGUGUGAUGUCGGUAAGUUCCCCAUAUAGCUGUCAACCUGUAAUAAAGACUUUCUUCCGGCUUUUAAAGCAUUCUCUGGUGGACGUAGUUUGUAACGUUCACAGUAGAUUCGAAUCCUUUGUCUAUUAGGACUUGAUCCUCAGCCUCUGUUAUUAGCAAAUAAUGUUUCAAGUAACACAAAAUAUAUGAUUAUUGUAAGAAAAUUAAAACAAUGCACGGAAAUAAACUUUGAAUGUUGGAAUAUGUAUCCCACCCUACCCAACUUGUCAGUGGUUUGUAAUAAAACUUUGAA